Molecule: transfer RNA, 74 nt
Filed under: Dermacentor silvarum
Lineage: Eukaryota; Metazoa; Arthropoda; Arachnida; Ixodida; Ixodidae
Description: transfer RNA proline (anticodon CGG)
Source: RNAcentral
GGCUCGUUAGGUCUAGGGGUAUGAUUCUCGCUUCGGGUGCGAGAGGUCCCGGGUUAGAAAUCCCGGACGAGCCC